AUUGAACGCUGGCGGCAGGCUUUACACAUGCAAGUCGAACGAGCGGCGGACGGGUGAGUAAUGUCUGGGAAACUGCCUGGUGGAGGGGGAUAACUACUGGAAACGGUAGCUAAUACCGCAUACCAUCGGAUGUGCCCAUAUGGGAUUAGCUAGUAGGUGGGGUAAUGGCUCACCAAGGCGACGAUCCCUAGCUGGUCUGAGAGGAUGACCAGCCACACUGGAACUGAGACACGGCCCAGACUCCUACGGGAGGCAGCAGUGGGGAAUUUUGGACAAUGGGGGAAAGCCUGAUGCAGCCAUGCCGCGUGUGUGAAGAAGGCCUUCGGGUUGUAAAGUACUUUUAGCGAGGAGGCGUUACCCGCAGAAGAAGCACCGGCUAACUCCGUGCCAGCAGCCGCGGUAAUAC
This 406-nucleotide ribosomal RNA is filed under the name uncultured bacterium. Its description in RNAcentral is "partial 16S ribosomal RNA". It matches the Rfam family "Bacterial small subunit ribosomal RNA", at positions 30 to 526 of the family's 1533-position model. The record is from RNAcentral.